This 467-nucleotide ribosomal RNA is filed under the name uncultured bacterium. RNAcentral describes it as "partial 16S ribosomal RNA". It matches the Rfam family "Bacterial small subunit ribosomal RNA", at positions 28 to 507 of the family's 1533-position model. The record is from RNAcentral.
GAUGAACGCUGGCGGCGUGCUUAACACAUGCAGGUCGAACGGAAAGGCCAGUGCUUGCACUGGUGCUCGAGUGGCGAACGGGUGAGUAACACGUGGGUGAUCUGCCCUGCACUUUGGGAUAAGCCUGGGAAACUGGGUCUAAUACCAGAUAGGACCAUGCUUUGGAUGGUGUGGUGGAAAGUUUUUUCGGUGUGGGAUGAGCUUGCGGCCUAUCAGCUUGUUGGUGGGGUAAUGGCCUACCAAGGCGUCGACGGGUAGCCGGCCUGAGAGGGUGUACGGCCACAUUGGGACUGAGAUACGGCCCAGACUCCUACGGGAGGCAGCAGUGGGGAAUAUUGCACAAUGGGCGCAAGCCUGAUGCAGCGACGCCGCGUGGGGGAUGACGGCCUUCGGGUUGUAAACUCCUUUCGCAACUGACGAAGCUUUUUGUGACGGUAGGUUGAGAAGAAGCACCGGCUAACUACGUG